This is a long non-coding RNA of Xenia sp. Carnegie-2017, 336 nucleotides long. RefSeq lists it as uncharacterized. The record is from RefSeq and is a predicted model, not a curated record. NCBI's taxonomy places the organism in Eukaryota, Metazoa, Cnidaria, Anthozoa, Malacalcyonacea, Xeniidae. The transcript has 3 exons.
GUGUUGUGUUUUGUCACGUGUUUUGUUGUUAGAUUGCGGGCUCGAGGUAUAACAAAAUAAAUAAUUGAAUAAAAGUAAAUAGCAAAUGUUGGUUAAAGUCAACAGCAUAAUAUAUUAUACGAAAACAAAUGAAAUGGCUUAGUUACAUUGAGAAACGGAGUCAAAGGUUGUUAAAGAUUGAGUUGAAAAAUUAUAACUCAAGUUUAGAAGGUGCAAGUUAUCAUGUAGAAUUUUCAUCAAAGCAGCCAUGCCAAUGAUCGUGCCAUUCAACUAGCAUGAUCUCAUCGCUACAAUUGAUAGUAGAUUCAACAAGUGCCAUUGCAUCGAAGACAAACU